Molecule: ribosomal RNA, 2902 nt
Filed under: Klebsiella pneumoniae
Lineage: Bacteria; Pseudomonadati; Pseudomonadota; Gammaproteobacteria; Enterobacterales; Enterobacteriaceae
Description: 23S ribosomal RNA
Rfam family: Bacterial large subunit ribosomal RNA
Source: RNAcentral
GGUUAAGCGACUAAGCGUACACGGUGGAUGCCCUGGCAGUCAGAGGCGAUGAAGGACGUGCUAAUCUGCGAAAAGCGUCGGUAAGGUGAUAUGAACCGUUAUAGCCGGCGAUGUCCGAAUGGGGAAACCCAGUGCAAUUCGUUGCACUAUCGUUAACUGAAUACAUAGGUUAACGAGGCGAACCGGGGGAACUGAAACAUCUAAGUACCCCGAGGAAAAGAAAUCAACCGAGAUUCCCCCAGUAGCGGCGAGCGAACGGGGAGCAGCCCAGAGUCUGAAUCAGCUUGUGUGUUAGUGGAACGGUCUGGAAAGUCCGACGGUACAGGGUGAUAGUCCCGUACACCAAAAUGCACAGGUUGUGAACUCGAAGAGUAGGGCGGGACACGUGGUAUCCUGUCUGAAUAUGGGGGGACCAUCCUCCAAGGCUAAAUACUCCUGACUGACCGAUAGUGAACCAGUACCGUGAGGGAAAGGCGAAAAGAACCCCGGCGAGGGGAGUGAAAAAGAACCUGAAACCGUGUACGUACAAGCAGUGGGAGCACCUUCGGGUGUGACUGCGUACCUUUUGUAUAAUGGGUCAGCGACUUAUAUUCUGUAGCAAGGUUAACCGUAUAGGGGAGCCGCAGGGAAACCGAGUCUUAACUGGGCGUUAAGUUGCAGGGUAUAGACCCGAAACCCGGUGAUCUAGCCAUGGGCAGGUUGAAGGUUGGGUAACACUAACUGGAGGACCGAACCGACUAAUGUUGAAAAAUUAGCGGAUGACUUGUGGCUGGGGGUGAAAGGCCAAUCAAACCGGGAGAUAGCUGGUUCUCCCCGAAAGCUAUUUAGGUAGCGCCUCGUGAAUUCAUCUUCGGGGGUAGAGCACUGUUUCGGCUAGGGGGUCAUCCCGACUUACCAACCCGAUGCAAACUACGAAUACCGAAGAAUGUUAUCACGGGAGACACACGGCGGGUGCUAACGUCCGUCGUGAAGAGGGAAACAACCCAGACCGCCAGCUAAGGUCCCAAAGUCAUGGUUAAGUGGGAAACGAUGUGGGAAGGCACAGACAGCCAGGAUGUUGGCUUAGAAGCAGCCAUCAUUUAAAGAAAGCGUAAUAGCUCACUGGUCGAGUCGGCCUGCGCGGAAGAUGUAACGGGGCUAAACCAUGCACCGAAGCUGCGGCAGCGACACUAUGUGUUGUUGGGUAGGGGAGCGUUCUGUAAGCCUGCGAAGGUGUGCUGUGAGGCAUGCUGGAGGUAUCAGAAGUGCGAAUGCUGACAUAAGUAACGAUAAAGCGGGUGAAAAGCCCGCUCGCCGGAAGACCAAGGGUUCCUGUCCAACGUUAAUCGGGGCAGGGUGAGUCGACCCCUAAGGCGAGGCCGAAAGGCGUAGUCGAUGGGAAACAGGUUAAUAUUCCUGUACUUGGUGUUACUGCGAAGGGGGGACGGAGAAGGCUAUGUUAGCCGGGCGACGGUUGUCCCGGUUUAAGCAUGUAGGCUGGUUGUCCAGGCAAAUCCGGAUAAUCAAGGCUGAGGUGUGAUGACGAGGCACUACGGUGCUGAAGUAACAAAUGCCCUGCUUCCAGGAAAAGCCUCUAAGCAUCAGGUAACAUUAAAUCGUACCCCAAACCGACACAGGUGGUCAGGUAGAGAAUACCAAGGCGCUUGAGAGAACUCGGGUGAAGGAACUAGGCAAAAUGGUGCCGUAACUUCGGGAGAAGGCACGCUGGUGUGUAGGUGAAGUCCCUGCGGAUGGAGCUGAGACCAGUCGAAGAUACCAGCUGGCUGCAACUGUUUAUUAAAAACACAGCACUGUGCAAACACGAAAGUGGACGUAUACGGUGUGACGCCUGCCCGGUGCCGGAAGGUUAAUUGAUGGGGUUAUCCGUAAGGAGAAGCUCUUGAUCGAAGCCCCGGUAAACGGCGGCCGUAACUAUAACGGUCCUAAGGUAGCGAAAUUCCUUGUCGGGUAAGUUCCGACCUGCACGAAUGGCGUAAUGAUGGCCAGGCUGUCUCCACCCGAGACUCAGUGAAAUUGAACUCGCUGUGAAGAUGCAGUGUACCCGCGGCAAGACGGAAAGACCCCGUGAACCUUUACUAUAGCUUGACACUGAACAUUGAGCCUUGAUGUGUAGGAUAGGUGGGAGGCUUUGAAGCGUGGACGCCAGUCUGCGUGGAGCCAACCUUGAAAUACCACCCUUUAAUGUUUGAUGUUCUAACGUUGGCCCCUUACCGGGGUUGCGGACAGUGUCUGGUGGGUAGUUUGACUGGGGCGGUCUCCUCCCAAAGCGUAACGGAGGAGCACGAAGGUUAGCUAAUCCUGGUCGGACAUCAGGAGGUUAGUGCAAUGGCAUAAGCUAGCUUGACUGCGAGCGUGACGGCGCGAGCAGGUGCGAAAGCAGGUCAUAGUGAUCCGGUGGUUCUGAAUGGAAGGGCCAUCGCUCAACGGAUAAAAGGUACUCCGGGGAUAACAGGCUGAUACCGCCCAAGAGUUCAUAUCGACGGCGGUGUUUGGCACCUCGAUGUCGGCUCAUCACAUCCUGGGGCUGAAGUAGGUCCCAAGGGUAUGGCUGUUCGCCAUUUAAAGUGGUACGCGAGCUGGGUUUAGAACGUCGUGAGACAGUUCGGUCCCUAUCUGCCGUGGGCGCUGGAGAAUUGAGGGGGGCUGCUCCUAGUACGAGAGGACCGGAGUGGACGCAUCACUGGUGUUCGGGUUGUCAUGCCAAUGGCACUGCCCGGUAGCUAAAUGCGGAAGAGAUAAGUGCUGAAAGCAUCUAAGCACGAAACUUGCCCCGAGAUGAGUUCUCCCUGAGACUUUAAGUCUCCUGAAGGAACGUUAAAGACGAUGACGUUGAUAGGCCGGGUGUGUAAGCGCAGCGAUGCGUUGAGCUAACCGGUACUAAUGAACCGUGAGGCUUAACCUU